ACCGUGGUGGCAAUUUAGGGAUUUCACCCCUGCUUUAACUCAUUGUCGUUCUUGAACAUCAAUCGCCAUGGUUCAAUGCAACCUUUCGGUACUCGUCAGUUCCCAUCUCCUCUAUAACCUAAUGUUCGAUUCUUAAAGCUUCCAUCAAUGGCGAUGAAUCUCAUCUCCCCUCUGGCUUGUUUUUCGUUUCUUACCUCAAUCAACCAGAUCUUGUGAGAUGGAUAGAUUGUUCAAAAAUCUAGGGUUCAAUGUCAGAACUGCAAGGUGAAAACGAAGAUUACAGUUGAUUUGAGAUCCUCCCACCUAGAUUCAGAAAUAGAUUUGAUUACAAGACCCUAAAAUCGUUCAAGGUAUUUGAAUUCUGAUUCUUUUGUGUCUCUUGUGUUUCCCUUUUUUCAUAUGUCCAAAUAGCGCAUGAUCUUGUACCCGCCAUUAGACGCAUUAAAGACACCUUCGCAACAUUUGGUUUGUUUUUUCUUGCCACCUGUCAAAGGUAACCGUGUCAAAGGUAAGCAAGCGUAUCCUCUUGUUGUUUAUUUGAUUUUGAUUGACUGCAUAUUGGCCCUCAAACAACUCAUUUGUAUAAUGUUAAUAAUUUCUAUAUUAGGGGCAUAAUUAUUGUAUGAAACCAUACUUAACAACUGGUUUCUAAUUCAUGAAACCAGUUGUCAUGACAACUGGUUUUAGCCCAGUUAACUCUUGGACAGAGCUAAGUUCUCACAGUGCCUACGCCAAGCCUGCCUUGCGUCUAUUUAAGGUGCCUACCUUGCACCUGUUUUGUUUAUACUUUAUAAACGACAACAUUUUUUACUUCGAAUGUACAUAACCAGAUGCUCAGGUAAUUAAGCUAAAUCAGUAUGACCUCUGGGCUAUUUUCAUUUGCUUAUUUAUAUAUUUAUUUAUUGUUAUUUUAAAUUGAACUGUUUGGGGCCUUGGGCAAAUGGUUUUCAAAGGGUACUGGAGGAAGCCGGUUCACUGGAUUCUUUCAUCCCGCUCUGGUCUUGCAGAGACUGAGUUGGAGGUAAGUAAAUCAACAGCUUCUUGUUAUUGCCGUUAUGAAGGUUUAUGUAACAAAUGUUUAUGAGAUCUAUACUUGAUAACAAAAUGGUUGGAAUUAAUUGCAAACAAGGAUUACAGUGCCCACAAUUUGAGAACUAGGUGGUCUUCCACAGUUUAAGAACCCGAAAACAUGCAUACAAAAUGAUUACUAACCUUAAUGUCCUAUUUAUAAUAGAGCUAAUAUGAUGCUUGUAGGAGAAGCUAACUUGUUUCAUAAGUUACUUUGCUCUCCAAUAAUUACUUCUAAAUAAUUGCCAACAAAUAUUAGGUUAUGAGAAUGGCUAGAAAGCAUCAGUUCUAACAGACUCCAACAUGUUUGUUUGUUAUUAGUUAGUUAGUUUGGUUUAUCAUUAGUUUAUACAUUAAUUAAAAGAACUCAAGUAUUGAAAGGAAAGGAGUCAAAGUCUUGCACUUUGCAAGAAAAGAUGAGUUUCAUGUAGAGACAAUAUUUAUAACACACAUAUGUCAAUUGUCAACUUGGUGGACAAACUGAAAGGAAAGGCGUCAAAGUCUUGCACUUUGCCAUGUGAGAAAACUGUCUACAUGGUGGACAAACUGACUACUGAUAACACACACUCAAGGUUUCUUAUAUCUGCCCAUAAGGUGUUUAACGUAAUGCCUCAAUGACUAUGAGUUCAUGAUACUAACUGAUUGUUUAAAUUUUUGGUGAUUUUGUAGCUCAGUAACUACAACCCCUUGUGAAAGACUGAUUCUAUCUCUCACAGAGUACCACUUCAGCAAUUUAGACACUUAUGUCUGUCUUUACAGAAUGAAAUGAUUGCUGGAUUGGAAAGAGCAGCGAUUCUGGCUAGCCGAACCCAAACCACAAACGUUCAGUGUGAAUGUGGUCGUCCCCGGACCAACACAGCAUUUCUCUUAACACUCUUGACCAACCAACAAAAGAAAAUUUUCAAAAGCGGCAUCAGAUGAUGGAACGUACAUUGCAUGAUUUUGUCACAUCUUGUUGGUGAUGUUGGCCAAUUUGCUCAUGAGUGUCUGAUGGUCGCCGCAGCAGGAGCUGUAGCCAUAGCCCAAGUGCCGACGGAGCCCUAGCUAUGGUUGGAGGAAGCAGGAACUACAAUCCUUGUGGCCAAUCAUGUCCACACCACCCCCUUGCAAGACUAAAUAAAACAGGUCACAAGAUGAGUUGCCAUAUAUAAAUGGGCGUGUGUUUAUUUUUGUUUCGUUUUGAAAUUAUAUGUAGUUCAAAUGUGUUAAUUUACGAUGCAUAUACCGCCUAUUAUUGUUGGUAUAUGUAGGUGUAAUUGAGAUUAUGGAAAAUCUAGGAGUUAGGAAUUUACGUCGUUAUGUGUGUAUUGUCGACUCUGCGGCAACGCGCGUUACAUGGAUGGUUAUAAAGUUAGAACAUCAAAGGCUAUCUCUUAUGGUUUAACGACUCCUGCCAUCUCAACACGAAAGGACGUGGAACACCACCCCCAUGGGGCGUAGGCAUGAGUGUGGUCAUGUGCUUGAGGCGGAUAUGCGUGUGGAGUUAAUUUUUGAGCCAUUUAAAACACACUAUGUGGUAUGAGGCGUUAAUGCAUAACACAUGCUCUUGUUUGAUCUGUGAAAGGCUUAUCGUAGGCUACUAAAGAGAAAAGUGCCUCCAUUUCAGAAAUAUAAACCACCCGAUAGCGUCACAACUUGUAUAUGAUUAUUUUUAAUCGUUUUAAAGGUUGAAUUAUGAUCCUUUCUCAUAUUGUAGA
Long non-coding RNA from Helianthus annuus (common sunflower), 2765 nucleotides. RefSeq lists it as uncharacterized. The transcript is spliced from 5 exons. Lineage: Eukaryota; Viridiplantae; Streptophyta; Magnoliopsida; Asterales; Asteraceae. The record is from RefSeq and is a predicted model, not a curated record.